RNAcentral lists this long non-coding RNA (1086 nucleotides) under Equus caballus (horse). RNAcentral describes it as "lncRNA (ENSECAG00000044057.1)". The record is from RNAcentral. Lineage: Eukaryota; Metazoa; Chordata; Mammalia; Perissodactyla; Equidae.
CCUCCCAGUCCCUCUCUGGCCCAGAAGGCUUCCGGGAUAUUCACAUAUUCUGAAUCGCCCCCAAGUGCCAAAGUUGGGGAAGGAGGAGGAUAACAUUUUCCCGAGGAGGGACCUCUGACCCAGCUGCCUGGUCCAGAGCCCAAGCAAUGCCUGUGACCCAGAUUACUGCCACCCAUUUUAUGGAUGAAGAAACUAUGGUUGAGUGGAUGCCCAAGGCCAUGCUGCUACAGUGUAUUUGAGCUGGGAUCCAACCUCCUGGUUAUACUCUUCUAACCACCAAUCCAUACAACUCAUCUGUUCUAUUUCUUCUGGCUGGAACAACUUUCUCUCCUCUAGCUGCCUGGAAAACUCCUACCUGACCUUCAAAAUUCAGGUCCAAUGCCUCCUCCUCUGUGAAGCCUUCUCUGAUCCCACUCCAGACAGUUUCAUCUGCUUGGUACCCAGAGCAUCAUGCAUAUGUCUUUACUACAUUGCUCAUCAAUCUAUUCUGAAAUGAUAUGAACAAUGCUCAUUUUCCCCCUCAAACUCUAAAUUCUAUUAUCACAGAGCUAAGUUUUCUUACUCCCUUACAUCAUUGACUGACACUGGAAAAUGCUGCCAAUGAAGCGGCCCAUUCCAUAUUUGCUUGGAUUUCACUGUUAGAAAGUUCUUUGUUAGGGUGAACCACACAGCUGGCCUCACUAACAUCCACCUCCUGGGAGGAGGAAGCAGUUGGUUCUACCAUCUUCCUCUCAUAGAAGCUCUUCAGAUGCUGAGGACACCUGUCACCUGUCCCAAGGGGCGUCCCUGAUCAUGUCCUGUGUUGUCCCCAGCCAUUUCCUAUAGAACUUCCUACUCUCUUCCCUCUAAACACAAAGAGCUUUUCCCUUUAACUCCUUAUUUGUCAUUGGUAUCAUGAAGGAGACUAUGGGGUCCAUGGAAGCUGGGACAUUCCCUGGGUGAGUCUCCUCUGAAUGUCUUAUGUCCAGCCCAGCAUGUGACUCAUUUUGUUGAAUAUGUGGGUGAAUGGUUGGUUGAGGUCUUGAAUGUGAUAGAAAAAUCAGGAUGGUGAAUAAUUAAAGAUAGGUUUAAGGGCCAUCUGAGUGA